Molecule: ribosomal RNA, 406 nt
Filed under: uncultured bacterium
Lineage: Bacteria
Description: partial 16S ribosomal RNA
Rfam family: Bacterial small subunit ribosomal RNA
Source: RNAcentral
AUUGAACGCUGGCGGCAGGCCUAACACAUGCAAGUCGAGCGAGCGGCGGACGGGUGAGUAAUGUCUGGGGAACUGCCCGAUGGAGGGGGAUAACUACUGGAAACGGUAGCUAAUACCGCAUACCAUCGGAUGUGCCCAGAUGGGAUUAGCUAGUAGGUGGGGUAAUGGCUCACCUAGGCGACGAUCCCUAGCUGGUCUGCGAGGAUGAUCAGCCACACUGGGACUGAGACACGGCCCAGACUCCUACGGGAGGCAGCAGUGGGGAAUAUUGCACAAUGGGCGCAAGCCUGAUGCAGCCAUGCCGCGUGUAUGAAGAAGGCCUUCGGGUUGUAAAGCACUUUCAGCCGGGAGGCGUUACCCGCAGAAGAAGCACCGGCUAACUCCGUGCCAGCAGCCGCGGUAAUUC